RNAcentral lists this ribosomal RNA (253 nucleotides) under uncultured bacterium. RNAcentral's name for it is "partial 16S ribosomal RNA". It matches the Rfam family "Bacterial small subunit ribosomal RNA", at positions 524 to 776 of the family's 1533-position model. The record is from RNAcentral.
UACGUAGGGGGCAAGCGUUGUCCGGAAUCAUUGGGCGUAAAGAGCGCGUAGGCGGCCCUGUAAGUCCGCUGUGAAAGUCAAGGGCUCAACCCUUGGAUGCCGGUGGAUACUGCAGGGCUAGAGUCCGGAAGAGGCGAGUGGAAUUCCUGGUGUAGCGGUGAAAUGCGCAGAUAUCAGGAGGAACACCGAUGGCGAAGGCACUUUACUGGGCUAUUACUAACACUCAGAGACGAAAGCUAGGGUAGCAAAUGGG